This 497-nucleotide ribosomal RNA is filed under the name uncultured bacterium. RNAcentral's name for it is "partial 16S ribosomal RNA". It matches the Rfam family "Bacterial small subunit ribosomal RNA", at positions 28 to 507 of the family's 1533-position model. The record is from RNAcentral.
GAUGAACGCUGGCGGCGUGCCUAAUACAUGCAAGUCGAGCGAACGGACGAGAAGCUUGCUUCUCUGAUGUUAGCGGCGGACGGGUGAGUAACACGUGGAUAACCUACCUAUAAGACUGGGAUAACUUCGGGAAACCGGAGCUAAUACCGGCUAAUAUUUUGAACCGCAUGGUUCAAAAGUGAAAGACGGUCUUGCUGUCACUUAUAGAUGGAUCCGCGCUGCAUUAGCUAGUUGGUAAGGUAACGGCUUACCAAGGCAACGAUGCAUAGCCGACCUGAGAGGGUGAUCGGCCACACUGGAACUGAGACACGGUCCAGACUCCUACGGGAGGCAGCAGUAGGGAAUCUUCCGCAAAGGGCGAAAGCCUGACGGAGCAACGCCGCGUGAGUGAUGAAGGUCUUCGGAUCGUAAAACUCUGUUAUUAGGGAAGAACAUAUGUGUAAGUAACUGUGCACAUCUUGACGGUACCUAAUCAGAAAGCCACGGCUAACUACGUG